Molecule: ribosomal RNA, 776 nt
Filed under: uncultured Neocallimastigales
Lineage: Eukaryota; Fungi; Neocallimastigomycota; Neocallimastigomycetes; Neocallimastigales
Description: partial large subunit ribosomal RNA
Rfam family: Eukaryotic large subunit ribosomal RNA
Source: RNAcentral
AGAGAGAGACAUGCGCGCAUAUCAAUAAGCGGAGGAAAAGAAACUAACAAGGAUUCCCCUAGUAACGGCGAGGUGAAGCGGGAAGAGCUCAAAUUUGAAAUCUUAAAGGGUUUCCCUUUACGAAUUGUAGUUUAAAGAAGUGUUUUCUGUUGAGGUUUUGGUAAAAGUUCUUUGGAAUAGGACAUCAUAGAGGGUGAGAAUCCCGUAUUUGACCUUUACUUUCAACUUUGUGAUACACUUUCAAAGAGUCGGAUUGUUUGGGAAUGCAGUCCAAAAUGGGUGGUGAAGUUUCAUCUAAAGCUAAAUAUUGGCGAGAGACCGAUAGCGAACAAGUACCGUGAGGGAAAGAUGAAAAGAACUUUGAAAAGAGAGUUAAACAGUACGUGAAAUUGUCAAAAGGGAAGCGUUUGACACCAGUGUUGUUUUUCUGAAAAUCAAUUAAAGAACUGUUUAUGCUAAGUUGUUUAGACUUUAUCAGCUAUCUGUUUAGUUUUGAGCUUUUCUUUAAUGCACUUUUCAGCUAACAAGUCAACAUCAAUUUCUUUUGCUGUAAAAAAGCUUGAGGAAGGUGGCUUGAGAUUCGUCUUAAGUGUUUAUAGCCUCUUGCCUAUGCAGUCGGAGAGAUUGAGGUCUGCAGCGUAGAUCCUUCGGGGCUAAAUGCAUUUGUGCUAAGUUAUAGCAUUUUAUAGACAACUUGUUGACUAUGAUUUGUCUUGUAGCUUACUCGCUUAUGUUAUUUUACCUACGCUUAGGAUGUUGAGCGCAUGUCUCUCUCU